CGGGACACGUGGUAUCCUGUCUGAAUAUGGGGGGACCAUCCUCCAAGGCUAAAUACUCCUGACUGACCGAUAGUGAACCAGUACCGUGAGGGAAAGGCGAAAAGAACCCCGGCGAGGGGAGUGAAAAAGAACCUGAAACCGUGUACGUACAAGCAGUGGGAGCCUCUUAAUGGGGUGACUGCGUACCUUUUGUAUAAUGGGUCAGCGACUUAUAUUCUGUAGCAAGGUUAACCGAAUAGGGGAGCCGAAGGGAAACCGAGUCUUAACUGGGCGUUAAGUUGCAGGGUAUAGACCCGAAACCCGGUGAUCUAGCCAUGGGCAGGUUGAAGGUUGGGUAACACUAACUGGAGGACCGAACCGACUAAUGUUGAAAAAUUAGCGGAUGACUUGUGGCUGGGGGUGAAAGGCCAAUCAAACCGGGAGAUAGCUGGUUCUCCCCGAAAGCUAUUUAGGUAGCGCCUCGUGAAUUCAUCUCCGGGGGUAGA
Molecule: ribosomal RNA, 485 nt
Filed under: Escherichia coli
Lineage: Bacteria; Pseudomonadati; Pseudomonadota; Gammaproteobacteria; Enterobacterales; Enterobacteriaceae
Description: partial 23S ribosomal RNA
Rfam family: Bacterial large subunit ribosomal RNA
Source: RNAcentral